UGCAAAUAAAGAACUGAGAUUAUUAAACAUAUUAUAUAAAAAAGGUUCCAUCUACUACACCUCUUUGUAUGUAUAGUUGGAUAUUUUUUAAUCUAAUAUAUGAUAAUGUAGAGGUGUGGAAGGAGCAUCUAGGAUUGAGUACAGUAGAGAUGACAAGAUGGAUUUGAAGAUGGAGGAAAGAAAAUUUGGAGAAGAUGUGGGACUUGGAA
This 209-nucleotide long non-coding RNA is filed under the name Elaeis guineensis (African oil palm). RNAcentral describes it as "long non-coding RNA (EGUI_LNC012847)". The record is from RNAcentral. Lineage: Eukaryota; Viridiplantae; Streptophyta; Magnoliopsida; Arecales; Arecaceae.